GACGAACGCUGGCGGCGUGCCUAAUACAUGCAAGUAGAACGCACAGUUUAUACCGUAGCUUGCUACACCAUAGACUGUGAGUUGCGAACGGGUGAGUAACGCGUAGGUAACCUGCCUGGUAGCGGGGGAUAACUAUUGGAAACGAUAGCUAAUACCGCAUAAUAUUAAUUAUUGCAUGAUAAUUAAUUGAAAGGUGCAAUUGCACCACUACCAGAUGGACCCGCGUUGUAUUAGCUAGUAGGUGAGGUAACGGCUCACCUAGGCGACGAUACAUAGCCGACCUGAGAGGGUGAUCGGCCAAACUGGGACUGAGACACGGCCCAGACUCCUACGGGAGGCAGCAGUAGGGAAUCUUCGGCAAUGGACGAAAGUCUGACCGAGCAACGCCGCGUGAGUGAAGAAGGGUGUCGGAUCGUAAAGCUCUGUUGUAAGAGAAGAACGGGUGUGAGAGUGGAAAGUUCACACUGUGACGGUAUCUUAACAGAAAGGGACGGCUAACUACGUG
This 505-nucleotide ribosomal RNA is filed under the name uncultured bacterium. Its description in RNAcentral is "partial 16S ribosomal RNA". It matches the Rfam family "Bacterial small subunit ribosomal RNA", at positions 28 to 507 of the family's 1533-position model. The record is from RNAcentral.